GCAACGAGCGCAACCCUUGUCAUUAGUUGCCAUCAUUGUUGGGCACUCUAAUGAGACUGCCGGUGACAAACCGGAGGAAGGUGGGGAUGACGUCAAGUCCUCAUGGCCCUUAUGGGUAGGGCUUCACACGUCAUACAAUGGUCGGUACAGAGGGUUGCCAACCCGCGAGGGGGAGCUAAUCCCACAAAGCCGAUCGUAGUCCGGAUCGCAGUCUGCAACUCGACUGCGUGAAGUCGGAAUCGCUAGUAAUCGUGGAUCAGCAUGUCACGGUGAAUACGUUCCCGGGUCUU
RNAcentral lists this ribosomal RNA (290 nucleotides) under uncultured Rhodocyclaceae bacterium. RNAcentral's name for it is "partial 16S ribosomal RNA". It matches the Rfam family "Bacterial small subunit ribosomal RNA", at positions 1089 to 1382 of the family's 1533-position model. Lineage: Bacteria; Pseudomonadati; Pseudomonadota; Betaproteobacteria; Rhodocyclales; Rhodocyclaceae. The record is from RNAcentral.